This 441-nucleotide long non-coding RNA is filed under the name Junco hyemalis (dark-eyed junco). RNAcentral describes it as "lncRNA (ENSJHYG00000011806.1)". Lineage: Eukaryota; Metazoa; Chordata; Aves; Passeriformes; Passerellidae. The record is from RNAcentral.
GAACUGAUUUGCCAGCACUUUCUCCUGAGAAGAGAUGGGAGAAAAACUCUGAAUGUGCUUCUGGUGGCCUCAGGUUGAGCAAUACAACAGAAGGUUUUGAUAACCUGUCUUCUGAUGCCAAGAGAUGUGACGAGAACAAAAGGAGGAGGACCAUGAAUGAGCACUUAUUUAUGUUUUUGUACCCAAAAUGAUGAGCGCAUCAGAAGAAGAAAAAAAAUGUUGCUUUGAAUGGCAUUCUUGAAGUAUUGGAAAGGUAAUGAAGAGGAACAAGGUGACCAAACUGCCAGACAUGUUAAACCAGCACCAUUAUGCACUUGUUAAUUAUUAUUUUUUUUUAAAUCUCUAGUCUGGUUAGGCUGAGGCACCCUUAUGCUGCAGUCUGCAAUUCUUGCUGUCUCUGUAAAACACAGUCCCACACUCCAAAACCUGCAAGGUUCGUGG